GACGGAGGAUGCAAGCGUUAUCCGGAAUUAUUGGGCGUAAAGCGUCCGUAGGUGGCGACUUAAGUCUGUUGUUAAAGCGUGCAGCUUAACUGCAUAAGGGCAAUGGAAACUGAGGCGCUAGAGUGCGGUAGGGGUAGAGGGAAGUCCCAGUGUAGCGGUGAAAUGCGUAGAUAUUGGGAAGAACACCAGUGGCGAAGGCGCUCUACUGGGCCGUAACUGACACUGAUGGACGAAAGCUAGGGGAGCGAAUGGG
Molecule: ribosomal RNA, 253 nt
Filed under: uncultured bacterium
Lineage: Bacteria
Description: partial 16S ribosomal RNA
Rfam family: Bacterial small subunit ribosomal RNA
Source: RNAcentral